This 253-nucleotide ribosomal RNA is filed under the name uncultured bacterium. RNAcentral describes it as "partial 16S ribosomal RNA". It matches the Rfam family "Bacterial small subunit ribosomal RNA", at positions 524 to 776 of the family's 1533-position model. The record is from RNAcentral.
UACGAAGGGGGCUAGCGGUGUUCGGAAUUACUGGGCGUAAAGCGCACGUAGGCUGAUUAGAAAGUCAGGGGUGAAAUCCCGGGGCUCAACCUCGGAACUGCCUUUGAUACUGCUGAUCUCGAGUCCGGAAGAGGUGAGUGGAAUUCCUUGUGUAGAGGUGACAUUCGUAGAUAUUAGGAAGAACACCAGUGGCGAAGGCGGCUCACUGGUCUGGUAAUGACGCUGAGGUGCUAAAGCGUGGGGAGCAAACAGG